GGAGGGAUGCCAGAGCGGUUGAAUGGGGCGGUCUCGAAAACCGUUGUGCGUUUUUAACGUACCGAGGGUUCGAAUCCCUCUCCCUCCGCCA
RNAcentral lists this transfer RNA (91 nucleotides) under Alphaproteobacteria bacterium. RNAcentral describes it as "tRNA-Ser". It matches the Rfam family "tRNA". Rfam says of the family: Transfer RNA (tRNA) molecules are approximately 80 nucleotides in length. Their secondary structure includes four short double-helical elements and three loops (D, anti-codon, and T loops). Lineage: Bacteria; Pseudomonadati; Pseudomonadota; Alphaproteobacteria. The record is from RNAcentral.